Myotis davidii is the source of this 183-nucleotide long non-coding RNA. RefSeq lists it as uncharacterized. The record is from RefSeq and is a predicted model, not a curated record. NCBI's taxonomy places the organism in Eukaryota, Metazoa, Chordata, Mammalia, Chiroptera, Vespertilionidae. The transcript is spliced from 3 exons.
GUCUUUUUGGGUUCAUCUUGUUUGGGACUCUCGGUGCUUGUGUGACUUUUUUCUUCCCCACAUCAGGGAAGUUUUCUGACAAUAUUUCUUUGAAUAGGUUUUCUAAGCCUUGUUCCUCUUGCUGUUGUUCUGGCACCCCUAUUAUUCGUAUGUUGCUUCAUUUUAUGUUGUCCCAUAGCUCCC